RNAcentral lists this ribosomal RNA (427 nucleotides) under uncultured bacterium. Its description in RNAcentral is "bacterial SSU rRNA". It matches the Rfam family "Bacterial small subunit ribosomal RNA", at positions 354 to 796 of the family's 1533-position model. The record is from RNAcentral.
GUGGGGAAUAUUGCACAAUGGGGGAAACCCUGAUGCAGCAACGCCGUGUGAACGAAGAAGGCCUUAGGGUCGUAAAGUUCUGUCCUAAGGGAAGAAGAAAGUGACGGUACCUUAGGAGGAAGCCCCGGCUAACUACGUGCCAGCAGCCGCGGUAAUACGUAGGGGGCAAGCGUUAUCCGGAAUUAUUGGGCGUAAAGAGUACGUAGGUGGCUAUGUAAGCGCAGGGUGAAAGGCAGUGGCUUAACCAUUGUUAGCCUUGCGAACUGCAAAGCUUGAGUGCAGGAGAGGAAAGCGGAAUUCCUAGUGUAGCGGUGAAAUGCGUAGAUAUUAGGAGGAACACCAGUGGCGAAGGCGGCUUUCUGGACUGUAACUGACACUGAGGUACGAAAGCGUGGGUAGCAAACAGGAUUAGAAACCCUAGUAGUCC